GAUGAACGCUAGCUACAGGCUUAACACAUGCAAGUCGCGGGGUAACGAGAGGGAAGCUUGCUUUCCUUGUCGACGACCGGCGCACGGGUGAGUAACGCGUAUCCAACCUGCCCAUUACCACGGGAUACCCCGUCGAAAGGCGGCCUAAUACCGUAUGCAGUCGUCAGAUGACAUCAGAGGACGACGAAAGGAUUGGCGGUAAUGGAUGGGGAUGCGUCUGAUUAGGUAGUUGGAGGGGUAACGGCCCACCAAGCCAUCGAUCAGUAGGGGUUCUGAGAGGAAGGUCCCCCACAUCGGAACUGAGACACGGUCCAAAACUCCUACGGGAGGCAGCAGUGAGGAAUAUUGGUCAAUGGGCGCGAGCCUGAACCAGCCAAAGUAGCGUGAGGGAUGACGGCCCUAUGGGUUGUAAAACCUCUUUUAAUGCGGGAAUAAAAUGUUUGACGUGUCAAUACAUUGUAGGUACCGCAAGAAAUAAGGACCGGCUAAAUUCCGUGCCAAGCAGCCGCGGUAAAUAGUACU
RNAcentral lists this ribosomal RNA (522 nucleotides) under uncultured bacterium. RNAcentral's name for it is "bacterial SSU rRNA". It matches the Rfam family "Bacterial small subunit ribosomal RNA", at positions 28 to 530 of the family's 1533-position model. The record is from RNAcentral.